Molecule: long non-coding RNA, 2631 nt
Organism: Oreochromis niloticus (Nile tilapia)
Lineage: Eukaryota; Metazoa; Chordata; Actinopteri; Cichliformes; Cichlidae
Source: Ensembl
UGCAUAUGUAUGAGCUCAAAUUCACCAAGGACUCCCAAUCCCUGUUCUGAGCACGCUGCCACGGCGACGCUUCCCGCCGCCUUCUCGGACCUGUUACCUCACUUCUUGGUAGAGCCGGAGGACGAGUACAUCGUAAAGAACAAGCCGGUGACUCUGACCUGCCGCUCCACCCCGGCCACGCAGAUCUACUUCAAAUGCAACGGCGAGUGGGUUCACCAAGAUGACCACUUGAUUGAACGGACUGUUGACCCAGCAACAGCGCUGCCAGUCAUGCAGGUGACAAUCGAAAUAACCAGGCAGCAGGUGGAGAAGAUCUUCGGACUUGAUGAGUACUGGUGUCAGUGUGUCGCCUGGAGCACCACCGGAACCCAGAAGAGCCAGAAAGCAUACAUCAGGAUUGCUUACCUGAGAAAGAACUUUGAGGAGGAGCCGCAGGGUAAAGAGGUGGCAUUGGACCAGGAGGUGUUGCUGCGCUGCCAUCCCCCCGAGGGAGUGCCACAAGCCGAGGUGGAGUGGCAGAGAAACGAGGAUGUGAUCGACCCAGCGAGUGACCCCAAUUUUGUCAUCACGCCCGACCAUAAUCUCGUCAUCAAAAAAGCCCGGCUGGCCGACACCGGCAACUACACGUGCGUGGCCAAAAACAUCGUCGCUCGCCGCAAAAGCACCUCUGCCGCGAUCCUUGUCUAUGUCAACGGUGGCUGGUCCACGUGGACCACCUGGUCGUCCUGCAGUGCCGUGUGUGGGCGUGGCUGGCAGAAGAGGAGUCGGAGCUGCACCAACCCCACGCCACUGAAUGGAGGCACAUCCUGUGAGGGGCAGAACGUCCAGAAAAGUGCCUGUGUGGCCACCUGUCCAGUGGACGGAGGCUGGAGCGAGUGGAGCAAGUGGUCAGCAUGUGGCGCAGACUGUUCGAUGUGGAGGAGCAGAGAGUGCACCCAGCCCUCACCUGGCACAGGGGGCAAAGACUGCCAGGGGCUUGAUCUCCAGUCUCUCAACUGUACCAGCGAGCAGUGUCCACAGACCGUGAGCGGAGCCGAGGACGUGGCGCUCUAUGUGGGCAUGGUGGCCGUGGCCCUGUGUCUGACCCUGCUGCUCAUUGUGGUCGUCCUGGUCUACAGGCGCAAGAAGGAAGGCCUGGAUGCCGACGUGGCCGACUCCUCCAUCCUCACCACUGGCUUCCAGCCCAUGGGCAUCAAGCCCAGCAAGCCAGGUAACUCCCAUUUACUCACCAUCCAGCCUGAUCUAACCACCACCACCACCAGUUAUCAAGGCACCCUGCGCUCUCGCCACGAUGCCACCGGGAAGUUUUCGAUGACCAACGGGCCUCUGCUGGACCCGCUUCCCAACGGCUCACACACCUUGCACAACGGCAAGCUCAACUCUGAUGCUGCUGCCGAGUUUGUGAGCAGGCUCUCCACCCAGAGCUACUUUAAAACGCUGCCCCGCGACGUGGCCAACACCUCCUACGGGACCUUCAACUUCCUAGGCGGCAGGCUGACUAUCCCCAACACAGGAAUCAGUCUGCUCAUUCCUCCCGAGGCCAUCCCCAGAGGAAAGAUCUAUGAGAUUUAUCUCACUGUUCAGAGGAAGGAAGAUUUAAGGUUACCCCUGGCUGGCUGCCAGACCCUCCUCAGCCCCAUUGUGAGUUGUGGCCCUCCGGGGGUGGUCCUGAGCCGGCCAGUUAUCCUCAGCAUGGACCACUGCUUUGAUGCAUGCCUGGAUAACUGGGCCGUGCGCCUUAAGAAGCAGAACUAUGAGGGCGCUUGGGAGGACGUCCUGUUGAUGGGAGAGGAGCUGGUGUCAGACCCUUAUUACUGCCAGCUCGAGGCCGAGACGUGCCGGCUCUUCUCGGAGCAGCUGGGUACAUUCGCCCUGGUGGGCGAGUCCCUGCACAUGGGCGCCGCCAAGCGCCUGAGGCUGGUGCUCUUCUCGGACGCUUACUGCUCCACGCUGGAGUACAACAUCAGGGUAUACUGUGAUGCAGAUGGAGCGGCAGCUCGGGGUCGGCUGAUUGACGAGCCUCACGUCCUGCUUUUCAAAGACAGCUACCACAACCUGCGCCUGUCCAUCCAUGACAUGCCCCAGGCGCACUGGAGGAGCAAGCUGCUAGCCGGCUACCAGGAGAUCCCAUUCUACCACAUCUGGAACGGUUCCCAGCGGUACCUGCACUGCACGUUCACUCUGGAGCGGCUCAGCCUCAGCACCUGCGAGCUCACCUGCCAGCUGUGUGUGUGGCAGGUGGAGGGGGAGGGACAGAGCUUUAGCCUGGACUUUAACAUUGCCAAGGACACUCGAGCGUUGGACUCUGAGUUUCUGUUAAUGGACAGUAACGCCACAGCUCUGGCGGGACCCAGCGCCUUUCAGAUCCCGUACCUCAUCAGGCAGAAGAUCUGCAGCAGCCUGGAUGCCCCCUGUCCCAACGGAGCCGACUGGAGAAUGCUAGCACAAAGACUUAAACUCGAGAGACACAUGAGUUUCCUUGCAUCCAAAGCGAGCCCAACCUCUGUGAUCCUGGACCUAUGGGAGGCGCAACAUUUCCACAGCGGCAACAUCAACCAGCUGGCCACGGUCAUGGCCGACAUCGGCAAACAGGAAGCCAUGAUAUUCCUGGUCUCCGAUGGCGAGUGCUAA